Molecule: ribosomal RNA, 301 nt
Filed under: uncultured bacterium
Lineage: Bacteria
Description: partial 16S ribosomal RNA
Rfam family: Bacterial small subunit ribosomal RNA
Source: RNAcentral
CAGCAGCCACGGUAAAACGUAGGUGGCAAGCGUUGUCCGGAAUUAUUGGGCGUAAAGGGCUCGCAGGCGGUUUCUUAAGUCUGAUGUGAAAGCCCCCGGCUCAACCGGGGAGGGUCAUUGGAAACUGGGAAACUUGAGUGCAGAAGAGGAGAGUGGAAUUCCACGUGUAGCGGUGAAAUGCGUAGAGAUGUGGAGGAACACCAGUGGCGAAGGCGACUCUCUGGUCUGUAACUGACGCUGAGGAGCGAAAGCGUGGGGAGCGAACAGGAUUAGAGACCCCUGUAGUCCCUGUCUCUUAUAC